GGCAUGCACUAGUGGGCCAUAAUUAUAAACUGGGUCUGAGGGUCAUGAGCGGACUGGUUCUGGAGUACGGCCAUGGUGGUGGGAUAGCUAAUUGGCGGUAACAAGGAGGCCGUUACUGCUAAAACAGUUCGAAACAGUGAUGGUGAUAAACUUAAUAAACACAAAGUAAUAAACUAAUAAAACAGUGAUGCGGAGGAAUGAGAAGAAGACAAAGACAUCUGAGAAACCUG
Pelobates cultripes (western spadefoot toad) is the source of this 230-nucleotide non-coding RNA. The record is from the annotation of a GenBank genome assembly. NCBI's taxonomy places the organism in Eukaryota, Metazoa, Chordata, Amphibia, Anura, Pelobatidae.